This 157-nucleotide ribosomal RNA is filed under the name Suhomyces maxii. Its description in RNAcentral is "5.8S ribosomal RNA". It matches the Rfam family "5.8S ribosomal RNA". Rfam says of the family: 5.8S ribosomal RNA (5.8S rRNA) is a component of the large subunit of the eukaryotic ribosome. It is transcribed by RNA polymerase I as part of the 45S precursor that also contains 18S and 28S rRNA. Lineage: Eukaryota; Fungi; Ascomycota; Pichiomycetes; Serinales; Debaryomycetaceae. The record is from RNAcentral.
AAACUUUCAACAACGGAUCUCUUGGUUCUCGCAUCGAUGAAGAACGCAGCGAAAUGCGAUAAGUAAUAUGAAUUGCAGCCUUUGUGAAUCAUCGAAUUUUUGAACGCACAUUGCGCCUUGAGGUAUUCCUCAAGGCAUGCCUGUUUGAGCGUCAGAC